AUACGGAGGGUGCAAGCGUUGUCCGGAUUUAUUGGGUUUAAAGGGUGCGUAGGUGGUUUUUUAAGUCAGUGGUGAAAGCCUACAGCUUAACUGUAGAGGUGCCAUUGAUACUGGGGAACUUGAGUAUGGACGAGGUAGGCGGAAUUUGUGGUGUAGCGGUGAAAUGCAUAGAUACCACAAGGAACACCGAUAGCGAAGACAGCUUACUGGGCCAUAACUGACACUGAGGCACGAAAGCGUGGGGAGCGAACAGGAUUAGAAACCCUAGUAGUCC
This 274-nucleotide ribosomal RNA is filed under the name uncultured bacterium. Its description in RNAcentral is "partial 16S ribosomal RNA". It matches the Rfam family "Bacterial small subunit ribosomal RNA", at positions 523 to 796 of the family's 1533-position model. The record is from RNAcentral.